UACGUAGGGUGCAAGCGUUAAUCGGAAUUACUGGGCGUAAAGCGUGCGCAGGCGGUUUUGUAAGUCUGUCGUGAAAUCCCCGGGCUCAACCUGGGAAUUGCGAUGGAGACUGCAAGGCUAGAAUCUGGCAGAGGGGGGUAGAAUUCCACGUGUAGCAGUGAAAUGCGUAGAGAUGUGGAGGAACACCGAUGGCGAAGGCAGCCCCCUGGGUCAAGAUUGACGCUGAGGCGCGAAAGCGUGGGGAUCAAACAGG
This 253-nucleotide ribosomal RNA is filed under the name uncultured bacterium. RNAcentral describes it as "partial 16S ribosomal RNA". It matches the Rfam family "Bacterial small subunit ribosomal RNA", at positions 524 to 776 of the family's 1533-position model. The record is from RNAcentral.